CCUCACCUCUUAUGGGAGGCAGACAUUGUAUUUGACAAUGACAGGCUUCCCCUUGUCCCACGAGAAGGAAAAACUCAGCCCCAUGGAAGACCGCCCAUGCGCUCAACUGCUUCUCUGACUUGAGCUGAGGUCUAUGGCAGAAUGGGAGGGGGUUCAGUGAUGUUCAGAGGCUUGAAGGGCCAGAGGCUGGCACUAGAGCUGGGGAUUGGGACUGCAGUGGCAGCUUAUAUAGGAAGAAGUCAAAGCAGCCUCCCUAUCCCGGCAGCCCCCUGGGGGGAGUGCAGAAGAGGAACUCAAGAGAUCUCUGGUGCAUGCUAAAUUUCAAGGGUACGGGGAAAACUGGGACGUCGGCUUAGAGGGGAAGCCAGAAGGGUAAACAUGUUGCCAUGGAGUUCUGUUUAAAAUAAAAUACAAUGGAAAGAAAAGCAGCAUGAUGAAGUAACCACAUGGACUGCAGGAUACACCUGAUACUAAUUACUGUCAUGCAGAAUGUUCUGGAAGACAUUUGACUCGCCUGAUGUAUACAUUCAAAUCAAGCAAAGUAGGACUGGAAGGCUCCUUAGGGACCAUCUUGUCCAAGUCUUUCCUUUUUCCAGAUGAGGAAGUAGGGGCCCACAGAGAGGGAGGGCCUGGACCUCAGCCUCCCAGCGCGGAGGGAGCAGAGCCGGGAUUCAAACCCGUGGUGCUUUGUAGGAAACCCGUAAUUUCCACGGUCUUUUUCCUUGGGCUGUCAGUAAGGCCCUGAAAUAGGAGAGUGGGGUUUACUGUGAACCUCGAAGGAGCAGGCUCAAGAGCCAGGGGGCCCAGAAUAGGGCAGAGGCUGGCUUCUCACUGGGAGGCUCAACUUCCCGCAGGGGCGCCAGGCCCUGACAGGAGAGACUGGACAUUAGGUGUCUGGAAGUUUCUCCUUCUAGGGGCUCCAGGAGCAUCCCACCUGAGGCCUGGGGCUCCCACCGGAACGUCAACUCAUGCCCUUGUGGGGCUGCAGGGCUGACGCGGGCUGGCACUGUGUCUACGACAGCCUCCCGGGCCCCCGGGUGCGUGGCUGCGGAUGCUCUCUGGCGGCCACCACAGUUCCCACGCGCGGCGGGUGAAUGCGAGCCCCUUGUCAAUGCGUGCCCCUCGCCUCUGCCCCCGAGAGGCUAGCAACCGGGCCUGCCGGCGUCUGAUUGGCCGUGGGGGCCUGACGACAGGGGCUCCUGGUUGCUGAUUGGCCCCGGCCAGCUCUGGCUGUUUCCUAGCUAUUAAUACUGUGGCUAAUAAACGUUCUCCU
This 1273-nucleotide long non-coding RNA is filed under the name Homo sapiens (human). RNAcentral describes it as "HSALNT0215900". The record is from RNAcentral. Lineage: Eukaryota; Metazoa; Chordata; Mammalia; Primates; Hominidae.